CCUCAGGUAAAUGCCUGUUAUUAAUACUAUUUGCUGCUACUCAAAAAUGUUUAACUUGGUUCUAUGCUCUUUUGCCUUUUGUUUCAUCCUUCUCACAGUGUAAAAGUGAACAAAUGCAUAUCAUUUAAAUUAUUAAAACCUUUGGCAUCCACCACAUAAGGAAUCAAUGUAAUAUGUUUUAUAACUACAGUAGAGUCUCACUUAUCCAACAUAAACAGGCCGGCAGAAUGUUGGAUAAGCGAAUACGUUGGAUAAUAAGGAGGCAUUAAGGAAAAGCCUAUUAAACAUCAAAUUAAGCACCAAAACAUCAUGUUUUACAACAAAUCAACAGAAAAAAGCAGUUCAAUACACAGUAACGUUGUGUAAUACAGUAGAGUCUCACUUAUCCAAGCUUUGCUUAUCCAAGCUUCUGGAUUAUCCAAGCCAUUUUUGUAGUCAAUGUUAUCAAUAUAUCGUGAUAUUUUGGUGCUAAAUUUGUAAAUACAGUAAUUACAACAUUAUUGCGUAUUGAACUACUUUUUCUGUCAAAUUUGUUGUAAAACAUGAUGUUUUGGUGCUUAAUUUGUAAAAUCAUAACCUAAUUUGAUGUUUAAUAGGUUUUUCCUUAAUCUCUCCUUAUUAUCCAAGAUAUUUGCUUAUCCAAGCUUCUGCCGGCCCGUUUAGCUUAGAUAAGUGAGACUCUACUGUAAUUACAGUAUUUACGAAUUCAGCACCAAUACAUCACAGUGUAUUGAAAACAUUGACUACAAAAAUAUUGACUACUAAAAAAUUGACCACAAAUAAAGAUAGAAUUGCAUAAAAUGAACUUACAGGAACAACAUUGUUGGAAGUUAAAUCCGUAAAAAUGUUCAGUCCUUGCUGCCUAGAGAAACAGCUGUGGAUCUGGGCAGGAGGCAGACUGUUGGAUAAUCCAGAACGUUGAAUAAGUGAAGGUUGGAUAAGCGAGACUCUACUGUACAUUUAAAGUGUAACUCCAACCGUGUGUGUGUGUGUUCAGAGGGUUUUUCUCUGAAUUCCUUCGCAGGUUUUGUUCAAAGGGGCUUUUUUGCUUUUGACCCCCGCAGAGGCUGAGAGAGUGUGCCUUGUCCAAGGUCGGCCAGGGAGCCUCUACCAGCUGUUAGAAUUGUGGAAGUUGAAGUCCAAAACACCUGGAGGGCCAAAAGUUGCCCAUGCCUGCUCUGUAAUAUAGAAAGUGUGUGUGUGUGUGUGUGUGUGUGUGUGUGUACAUACAUACAUACAUACAUACU
RNAcentral lists this long non-coding RNA (1247 nucleotides) under Anolis carolinensis (green anole). RNAcentral describes it as "lncRNA (ENSACAG00000036158.1)". Lineage: Eukaryota; Metazoa; Chordata; Lepidosauria; Squamata; Anolidae. The record is from RNAcentral.